RNAcentral lists this ribosomal RNA (205 nucleotides) under uncultured bacterium. RNAcentral describes it as "partial 16S ribosomal RNA". It matches the Rfam family "Bacterial small subunit ribosomal RNA", at positions 568 to 773 of the family's 1533-position model. The record is from RNAcentral.
UCCGUAGGCGGGCCUGUAAGUCAGGGGUGAAAGUUUGUGGCUCAACCAUAAAAUUGCCUUUGAUACUGCAGGUCUUGAGUCAUGGUGGGGUUGCCGGAACAUGUGGUGUAGCGGUGAAAUGCAUAGAUAUCACAUAGAACACCGAUCGCGAAGGCAGGUGACCAACCAUGUACUGACGCUGAUGGACGAAGCGUGGGUAGCGAAC